RNAcentral lists this ribosomal RNA (512 nucleotides) under uncultured archaeon. Its description in RNAcentral is "bacterial SSU rRNA". It matches the Rfam family "Archaeal small subunit ribosomal RNA", at positions 83 to 599 of the family's 1478-position model. The record is from RNAcentral.
UAAGGCUCAGUAACACGUGGAUAAUCUACCCUCAGGUGGGGCAUAAACCCGGGAAACUGGGGCCAAUUCCCCAUAGAUACAGAUAGCUGGAAUGCUUCUGUAUUCAAAGCUCCGGCGCCUGAGGAUGAGUCUGCGGCCUAUCAGGUUGUAGUCAGGGUCAUGACCUGACUAGCCAGCGACGGGUAUGGGGUGUGAGAGCACUUGCCCAGAGAUGGUUUCUGAGACACGAAACCAGGCCCUACGGGGCGCAGCAGGCGCGAAAACUUCGCAAUGCGGGAAACCGUGACGAGGGGAUUCCAAGUGUCUAUGCAUUGCAUAGACUGUUUUUUAGCCUAAAUAGCUAUUAGAGUAAGGGGUGGGCAAGACCGGUGCCAGCCGCCGCGGUAACACCGGCACCUCGAGUGGUAGCCACUAUUAUUGGGCCUAAAGCGUUCGUAGCCGGUUUGGUAAAUUCUUGGGUAAAUCGUACCGCUUAACGGUGCGGAUUCCGAGGACACUACCAGACUUGAGAC